UGGGGAAUAUUGGACAAUGGGCGAAAGCCUGAUCCAGCCAUGCCGCGUGUGUGAAGAAGGUCUUCGGAUUGUAAAGCACUUUAAGUUGGGAGGAAGGGCAUUAACCUAAUACGUUAGUGUUUUGACGUUACCGACAGAAUAAGCACCGGCUAACUCUGUGCCAGCAGCCACGGUAAUACAGAGGGUGCAAGCGUUAAUCGGAAUUACUGGGCGUAAAGCGCGCGUAGGUGGUUUGUUAAUUUGGAUGUGAAAUCCCCGGGCUCAACCUGGGAACUGCAUUCAAAACUGACUGACUAGAGUAUGGUAGAGGGUGGUGGAAUUUCCUGUGUAGCGGUGAAAUGCGUAGAUAUAGGAAGGAACACCAGUGGCGAAGGCGACCACCUGGACUAAUACUGACACUGAGGUGCGAAAGCGUGGGGAGCAAACA
This 427-nucleotide ribosomal RNA is filed under the name uncultured bacterium. RNAcentral's name for it is "partial 16S ribosomal RNA". It matches the Rfam family "Bacterial small subunit ribosomal RNA", at positions 355 to 774 of the family's 1533-position model. The record is from RNAcentral.